GUAWUUUGAAGAGGSCGACUCUGGAGGCGGCCCUUGCCUAUGUUCCUUGGAACAGGACGUCACARAGGGUGARAAUCCCGKGCGGCGAGGUGGCCCGGCUCCGKGUAGAGUGCUUUCRAARAGUCGAGUUGUUUGGRAAUGCAGCUCUAAKUGGGKGGUAAAUUCCAUCUAAAGCUAAAUAUUGGCGAGAGACCGAUAGCGAACAAGUACAGUGAUGGAAAGAUGAAAAGAACUUUGAAAAGAGAGUGAAAAAGUACGUGAAAUUGUUGAAAGGGAAGGGUAUUARAUCARACUUGGCGGUUUAGGGGAUCCCCGCGCCCUUGUGGCGGGGGCCACUCCUCUAGCGCUGGGCCAGCAUCGAUUCGRACGGCGGGAGAAUGGCUKGGGGGAAUGUGGCAGGGGCCCUUUGUGGCUGCUGKGUUUAUAGCCCCCGGCARAUSCCGCCKGNGUGGAUCGAGGAGKGCGUUCUUAUGGACUAGGAUGCUGGC
RNAcentral lists this ribosomal RNA (488 nucleotides) under [Candida] sp. Its description in RNAcentral is "Candida sp. (in: Saccharomycetales) partial 26S ribosomal RNA". It matches the Rfam family "Eukaryotic large subunit ribosomal RNA", at positions 145 to 630 of the family's 3401-position model. The record is from RNAcentral. Lineage: Eukaryota; Fungi; Ascomycota; Saccharomycetes; Saccharomycetales.